AUAUUAAAGUUGUUGCAGUUAAAAAGCUCGUAGUUGGAUUUCUGUUAAUAAUUUAUAUAAAAUAUUUUGAUGAAUAUUUAUAUAAUAUUAACAUAAUUCAUAUUACUAUUUUUUUUUUUAGUAUAUGAAAUUUUACUUUGAGAAAAUUAGAGUGCUUAAAGCAGGCAUAUGCCUUGAAUACUCCAGCAUGGAAUAAUAUUAAAGAUUUUUAUCUUUUUUAUUGGUUYUAAGAUAAGAAUAAUGAUUAAUAGGGACAGUUGGGGGCAUUUGUAUUUAACAGUCAGAGGUGAAAUUCUUAGAUUUGUUAAAGACAAACUAAUGCGAAAGCAUUUGCCAAGGAUGUUUUCAUUAAUCAAGAACGAAAGUUAGGGGAUCGAAGACGAUCAGAUACCGUCGUAGUCUUAA
RNAcentral lists this ribosomal RNA (405 nucleotides) under Cryptosporidium hominis. RNAcentral describes it as "partial small subunit ribosomal RNA". The record is from RNAcentral. Lineage: Eukaryota; Apicomplexa; Conoidasida; Eucoccidiorida; Cryptosporidiidae.